GCCGGGGUGGUGAAAUUGGUAGACACGCUAGCCUUAGGAGCUAGUGCCCUUGCGGUGUGGAGGUUCGAGUCCUCUCCCCGGCACCA
RNAcentral lists this transfer RNA (86 nucleotides) under Candidatus Uhrbacteria bacterium RIFCSPHIGHO2_02_FULL_53_13. RNAcentral's name for it is "tRNA-Leu". It matches the Rfam family "tRNA". From Rfam's summary of the family: Transfer RNA (tRNA) molecules are approximately 80 nucleotides in length. Their secondary structure includes four short double-helical elements and three loops (D, anti-codon, and T loops). RNAcentral also lists the same sequence under 2 other names. Lineage: Bacteria; Candidatus Uhriibacteriota. The record is from RNAcentral.